RNAcentral lists this ribosomal RNA (253 nucleotides) under uncultured bacterium. Its description in RNAcentral is "partial 16S ribosomal RNA". It matches the Rfam family "Bacterial small subunit ribosomal RNA", at positions 524 to 776 of the family's 1533-position model. The record is from RNAcentral.
UACGUAGGGUGCGAGCGUUAAUCGGAAUUACUGGGCGUAAAGCGUGCGCAGGCGGUUUUGUAAGCCGGGUGUGAAAGCCCCGGGCUCAACCUGGGAAUGGCAUUUGGGACUGCAAGGCUUGAGUGCGGCAGAGGAGACUGGAAUUCCUGGUGUAGCAGUGAAAUGCGUAGAUAUCAGGAGGAAUACCGAUGGCGAAGGCAGGUCUCUGGGCUGACACUGACGCUCAUGCACGAAAGCGUGGGGAGCAAACAGG